GUCGAGAGGCUUCGGCAAUGGGGGAAACCCUGACCGAGCGACGCCGCGUGGGCGAUGAAGGCCUUCGGGUUGUAAAGCCCUUUCAGAUGGGAAGAAGGAUCGUGGAGUGAACAAUUCCACGGUCGUGACGGUACCGUCAGAAGAAGCUCCGGCUAACUCCGUGCCAGCAGCCGCGGUAAUACGGGGGGAGCAAGCGUUGUUCGGAUUCAUUGGGCGUAAAGGGCGCGUAGGCGGUCAGGUCAGUCCGUCAUGAAAUGUACCGGUUCAACCGGGGCACCGUGUCGGAAACUGCCUGGCUUGAGGCCGAGGGAGGAAGGUGGAAUUCCUGGUGUAGCGGUGAAAUGCGUAGAUAUCAGGAGGAACACCCGUGGCGAAGGCGACCUUCUAUCUCGGAUCUGACGCUGAGGCGCGAAAGCUAGGGGAGCAAACGGGAUUAGAUACCCCAGUAGUCC
Molecule: ribosomal RNA, 452 nt
Filed under: uncultured bacterium
Lineage: Bacteria
Description: bacterial SSU rRNA
Rfam family: Bacterial small subunit ribosomal RNA
Source: RNAcentral